UUCGGGGUGCUUGCCGGUGGUCGGCAGGCUGAGAUCAUACCCAUAGAACCUGACCCGGAUAAUGCCGGCGCAGGGAGUUUG
RNAcentral lists this non-coding RNA (81 nucleotides) under bovine gut metagenome. The record is from RNAcentral.